UGGGGAAUAUUGCACAAUGGGGGAAACCCUGAUGCAGCGACGCCGCGUGAGUGAAGAAGUAUUUCGGUAUGUAAAGCUCUAUCAGCAGGGAAGAAAAUGACGGUACCUGACUAAGAAGCCCCGGCUAACUACGUGCCAGCAGCCGCGGUAAUACGUAGGGGGCAAGCGUUAUCCGGAUUUACUGGGUGUAAAGGGAGCGUAGACGGUAAAGCAAGUCUGGAGUGAAAGGCUGGGGCCCAACCCCGGGACUGCUCUGGAAACUGUUAAACUGGAGUGCAGGAGAGGCAGGCGGAAUUCCUAGUGUAGCGGUGAAAUGCGUAGAUAUUAGGAGGAACACCAGUGGCGAAGGCGGCUUACUGGACGGUAACUGACGUUGAGGCUCGAAAGCGUGGGGAGCAAACAGGAUUAGAUACC
RNAcentral lists this ribosomal RNA (414 nucleotides) under uncultured bacterium. RNAcentral's name for it is "bacterial SSU rRNA". It matches the Rfam family "Bacterial small subunit ribosomal RNA", at positions 355 to 786 of the family's 1533-position model. The record is from RNAcentral.